GACGAACGCUGGCGGCGUGCUUAACACAUGCAAGUCGAACGGAAAGGCCCUGCUUUUGUGGGGUGCUCGAGUGGCGAACGGGUGAGUAACACGUGAGUAACCUGCCCUUGACUUUGGGAUAACUUCAGGAAACUGGGGCUAAUACCGGAUAGGAGCUCCUGCUGCAUGGUGGGGGUUGGAACGUUUCGGCGGGUGGGGAUGGACUCGCGGCUUAUCAGCUUGUUGGUGGGGUAGUGGCUUACCAAGGCUUUGACGGAUAGCCGGCCUGAGAGGGUGACCAGCCACAUUGGGACUGAGGUACGGCCCAGACUCCUACGGGAGGCAGCAGUGGGGAAUAUUGCACAAUGGGCGGAAGCCUGAUGCAGCAACGCCGCGGGCGGGAUGACGGCCUUCGGGUUGUAAACCGCUUUCGCCUGUGACGAAGCGUGAGUGACGGUAAUGGGUAAAGAAGCACCGGCUAACUACGUG
This 468-nucleotide ribosomal RNA is filed under the name uncultured bacterium. RNAcentral's name for it is "partial 16S ribosomal RNA". It matches the Rfam family "Bacterial small subunit ribosomal RNA", at positions 28 to 507 of the family's 1533-position model. The record is from RNAcentral.